This 550-nucleotide small RNA is filed under the name Pan troglodytes (chimpanzee). Its description in RNAcentral is "processed transcript". The record is from RNAcentral. Lineage: Eukaryota; Metazoa; Chordata; Mammalia; Primates; Hominidae.
AUGUUACCAAGGGGCCAGGCGCGGUGGCUCACGCCUGUAAUUCCAGCACUUUGGGAGGCCGAGAUUGGAUCUGGUUCCUCGCGUCUUGGAACAGCAGCAACUAUUAAAGGAGAUACAGACACUGCUAAGACUUCUGAUGAUAUCAGUUUAAGUCUGGGCCAAAGUUCUAGUCUUUGUAAGGAAGGAAGUGAAGAACAAGCUACUCAGGAGGUUGAGGCACGAGAAUCGCUUGAACCUGGGAGGCGGAGGUUGUAGUGAGCCGAGAUCGUGUGACUGCACUCCAGCCUGGGUGAAAGAGCGAGACUCUGUCACAAAUAGAGAAACACACACACACAUACAGAUUUGGCAGCUGAUCGGAAGCUCUUUCGUCUUGUCUCCAAUGACUCCUUCAUCUCUAUUCAGCCUUCCUUAUCCUCUUGUGGACAGGACUUGCCAAGGGACUUCAGUGACAAAGUGAACCUGCCAAAUCAUAACCACCACCACCAUGUUGAUCAGUCUCUGUCCAGCGCCUGUGACACAGAAGUAGCUUCUCUUGUACCUUUACACUCAC